RNAcentral lists this ribosomal RNA (910 nucleotides) under Microbacterium imperiale. RNAcentral's name for it is "bacterial SSU rRNA". It matches the Rfam family "Bacterial small subunit ribosomal RNA", at positions 28 to 949 of the family's 1533-position model. The record is from RNAcentral. Lineage: Bacteria; Bacillati; Actinomycetota; Actinomycetes; Micrococcales; Microbacteriaceae.
GAUGAACGCUGGCGGCGUGCUUAACACAUGCAAGUCGAACGGUGAAGCAGAGCUUGCUCUGUGGAUCAGUGGCGAACGGGUGAGUAACACGUGAGCAAUCUGCCCCUGACUCUGGGAUAAGCGCUGGAAACGGCGUCUAAUACCGGAUACGAGCUGCGAUCGCAUGGUCAGUAGCUGGAAAGAAUUUCGGUCAGGGAUGAGCUCGCGGCCUAUCAGCUUGUUGGUGAGGUAAUGGCUCACCAAGGCGUCGACGGGUAGCCGGCCUGAGAGGGUGACCGGCCACACUGGGACUGAGACACGGCCCAGACUCCUACGGGAGGCAGCAGUGGGGAAUAUUGCACAAUGGGCGGAAGCCUGAUGCAGCAACGCCGCGUGAGGGAUGACGGCCUUCGGGUUGUAAACCUCUUUUAGCAGGGAAGAAGCGAAAGUGACGGUACCUGCAGAAAAAGCGCCGGCUAACUACGUGCCAGCAGCCGCGGUAAUACGUAGGGCGCAAGCGUUAUCCGGAAUUAUUGGGCGUAAAGAGCUCGUAGGCGGUCUGUCGCGUCUGCUGUGAAAACCCGAGGCUCAACCUCGGGCCUGCAGUGGGUACGGGCAGACUAGAGUGCGGUAGGGGAGAUUGGAAUUCCUGGUGUAGCGGUGGAAUGCGCAGAUAUCAGGAGGAACACCGAUGGCGAAGGCAGAUCUCUGGGCCGUAACUGACGCUGAGGAGCGAAAGGGUGGGGAGCAAACAGGCUUAGAUACCCUGGUAGUCCACCCCGUAAACGUUGGGGACUAGUUGUGGGGUCCAUUCCACGGAUUCCGUGACGCAGCUAACGCAUUAAGUUCCCCGCCUGGGGAGUACGGCCGCAAGGCUAAAACUCAAAGGAAUUGACGGGGACCCGCACAAGCGGCGGAGCAUGCGGAUUAA